UACGUAGGGGGCAAGCGUUGUCCGGAUUUAUUGGGCGUAAAGAGCGUGUAGGCGGCUUUACAGGUCCGUUGUGAAAACUCGAGGCUCAACCUCGAGACGCCGGUGGAAACCGUAAAGCUAGAGUCCGGAAGAGGAGAGUGGAAUUCCUGGUGUAGCGGUGAAAUGCGUAGAUAUCGGGAGGAACACCAGUGGCGAAGGCGGCCCCCUGGGCCGCUCCUGACGCUGAGACGCGAAGGCCAGGGUAGCGAACGGG
Molecule: ribosomal RNA, 253 nt
Filed under: uncultured bacterium
Lineage: Bacteria
Description: partial 16S ribosomal RNA
Rfam family: Bacterial small subunit ribosomal RNA
Source: RNAcentral